Long non-coding RNA from Eriocheir sinensis (Chinese mitten crab), 1031 nucleotides. RefSeq lists it as uncharacterized. The transcript is spliced from 3 exons. The record is from RefSeq and is a predicted model, not a curated record. NCBI's taxonomy places the organism in Eukaryota, Metazoa, Arthropoda, Malacostraca, Decapoda, Varunidae.
CAGACCAAUAAAUGGUUACCCAAGACCCAGACUCAGACCAGGCCAGGUGAGGUCGAGGAGGAGACUUGUCCCGCCUUCCUAGAGAGCAGGAGAGCCCUUAAAGCAUGGCCACCGUCCUCAGGCCAGCGCAGAGAGUCGCGGUGUCUGCUGCCCGGGGCGUGAGGCAGCUGCACCUCUCCAAGCCUAAUGGCGAGACCUUCACCGUCACUGAUGCCGUCCUGCCCAGGCCCCACUCCACCAAGGUGACAGGUUACAUGGGUGUCACCAUGACAACAUCACUGGGAAUAUUCACUGGAGCAGAGAUGAGCAAGAACAUUGCCAGCUUUCUUGAGGAGAAUGAACUCUUUGUUCCAUCAGAUGAUGAUGAUGAUGAUUGAGCCCCUAUACUGUGUGCCAAAGAACAUGGCCUGGAGGACUAAAUCAGGUUUUAUGGAUAAAUCCUGAUAUUUCGUGAUUCUUGUUUCAGGUAUGUGAAGAAUCAUCUAGUCAAGAGUGUGUAAAAAAAAAAAAAAAAAAAGUAUCCUAACAUAAAACUAGUGACAAUUCUGUAAGGUCAAGUUACAGCAACAUCUGUAUUUUGAGUUAAUGUCAAAAUAAUUCUGUUGUUUGCCUGUUAUUAAUGGAUGUUGUUUCAAUUCAUAAAGUUUGGUCCUGCUCACUGCAUAAUAUUGUCCAGCUUUAUAAUAGGAAUAUAUACAUAACUACUACUUAAAGCUUGAUCUUUUUUUUAUUAUUAUUAUUAUUAUUAUUAUUAUUCCUUGAUGUUAUUGGCUAAGAAACCUAGGUGAAAGCCUUCAAAAAUUGAUUGUGAGAUUAUGUAGUAAGUCUUAGAUAUUUGUGGAGAUUAGUUUUCUUAAUUCAUAAAAUGAUUUAGUUUCCUGUGUAGAAUAUAUGUUUGCCUUUCCUGUAGGAUUCUCAUUCAUACUAAUUUGUAAAAUGUAGAUCUACUUUCUCUUCUCUAAUCCAUUUGUGAUUGCUUGUUACUGUGAUCUGAAAGUAUAUUCCCAUGCAAUAAAAAGAAUAUGUUUCAA